AAGCGCUCUUUGAGAGUUGUUUGCUUACUGGUGGAGGUGAUGUACCGUACUUGAGUAUCCAUGACAACACUGCGACACACCAGAGAGAACUCCAUCACUUUUAUAUUCUGCUGGAGGGUGCCUCUUCUGUGGAAUUGGCAGGAUUGAAAAUGCUUUCUUCCUACUGCCACAACUUACAUCACAGUUCAUGUAAGCACUUGGGUGUGCUCGCUCUUUUGAAUGUCCAGUUCUCCACUACCUCUUAAGGCUUUGGUGCUGGGACUCCAUGAAAUUCAUCUUCAGAUCAACAAUCAAUAGCACAAUAAUUGGAACUUCAAAAUGCAUUAAAUGAAUGAGUAUUAACCCAA
RNAcentral lists this long non-coding RNA (347 nucleotides) under Chinchilla lanigera (long-tailed chinchilla). Its description in RNAcentral is "lncRNA (ENSCLAG00000024568.1)". Lineage: Eukaryota; Metazoa; Chordata; Mammalia; Rodentia; Chinchillidae. The record is from RNAcentral.